This 72-nucleotide transfer RNA is filed under the name Gasterosteus aculeatus (three-spined stickleback). It matches the Rfam family "tRNA". Rfam says of the family: Transfer RNA (tRNA) molecules are approximately 80 nucleotides in length. Their secondary structure includes four short double-helical elements and three loops (D, anti-codon, and T loops). The record is from Rfam by way of RNAcentral. Lineage: Eukaryota; Metazoa; Chordata; Actinopteri; Perciformes; Gasterosteidae.
GACUCUGUGGCGCAACGGUAGCGCGUCUGACUCCAGAUCAGAAGGCUGUGUGUUCAAAUCACGUCAGGGUCA